RNAcentral lists this ribosomal RNA (253 nucleotides) under uncultured bacterium. Its description in RNAcentral is "partial 16S ribosomal RNA". It matches the Rfam family "Bacterial small subunit ribosomal RNA", at positions 524 to 776 of the family's 1533-position model. The record is from RNAcentral.
UACGUAGGGGGCAAGCGUUGUCCGGAAUCAUUGGGCGUAAAGCGCGUGUAGGCGGCUUCGUAAGUCCGUUGUGAAAGUCCAGGGCUCAACCCUGGAAAGCCGGUGGAUACUGUCGGGCUAGAGUCCGGAAGAGGCGAGUGGAAUUCCUGGUGUAGCGGUGGAAUGCGCAGAUAUCAGGAGGAACACCGAUAGCGAAGGCAGCUCGCUGGGACGGUACUGACGCUGAGGUGCGAAAGCGUGGGGAGCGAACAGG